CGGACCGGCGCACGGGUGAGUAACGCGUAUGCAACCUACCUAUCAGGAGGGGAACUAACCCGGCGAAAGUCGGACUAAUACCGCAUAAAACAGGGGUUCCACAUGGAAAUAUUUGUUAAAGAAUUAUCGCUGAUAGAUGGGCAUGCGUUCCAUUAGAUAGUUGGUGAGGUAACGGCUCACCAAGUCCACGAUGGAUAGGGGUUCUGAGAGGAAGGUCCCCCACACUGGUACUGAGACACGGACCAGACUCCUACGGAAGGCAGCAG
Molecule: ribosomal RNA, 266 nt
Filed under: uncultured bacterium
Lineage: Bacteria
Description: partial 16S ribosomal RNA
Rfam family: Bacterial small subunit ribosomal RNA
Source: RNAcentral